RNAcentral lists this ribosomal RNA (266 nucleotides) under uncultured bacterium. RNAcentral describes it as "partial 16S ribosomal RNA". It matches the Rfam family "Bacterial small subunit ribosomal RNA", at positions 88 to 354 of the family's 1533-position model. The record is from RNAcentral.
UGGGUUAGUGGCGGGCGGGUGAGUAACGCGUGGGUAACCUGCCUUACACAGGGGGAUAACACUUAGAAAUAGGUGCUAAAACCGCAUAAGCGCACAGCUUCGCAUGAAGCGGUGUGAAAAACUCCGGUGGUGUAAGAUGGACCCGCGUCUGAUUAGCUUGUUGGCGGGGUAACGGCCCACCAAGGCGACGAUCAGUAGCCGGCCUGAGAGGGCGGACGGCCACAUUGGGACUGAGACACGGCCCAGACUCCUACGGGAGGCAGCAG